Molecule: ribosomal RNA, 498 nt
Filed under: uncultured bacterium
Lineage: Bacteria
Description: partial 16S ribosomal RNA
Rfam family: Bacterial small subunit ribosomal RNA
Source: RNAcentral
GACGAACGCUGGCGGCGUGCCUAAUACAUGCAAGUCGAGCGGACGAAUCGAAAGCUUGCUUUUGAUUCGUUAGCGGCGGACGGGUGAGUAACACGUGGGCAACCUGCCCUGUAGACGGGGAUAACACCGAGAAAUCGGUGCUAAUACCGGAUAACACGAAAUGUCGCAUGACGUUUCGUUGAAAGACGGCGCAAGCUGUCGCUACAGGAUGGGCCCGCGGCGCAUGAGCUAGUUGGUGAGGUAACGGCUCACCAAGGCGACGAUGCGUAGCCGACCUGAGAGGGUGAUCGGCCACACUGGAACUGAGACACGGCCCAGACUCCUACGGGAGGCAGCAGUAGGGAAUCUUCCGCAAUGGACGAAAGUCUGACGGAGCAACGCCGCGUGAGCGAAGAAGGCCUUCGGGUCGUAAAGCUCUGUUGUUAGGGAAGAACAAGUAACGCAGUAACUGGCGUUACCGUGACGGUACCUAACGAGAAAGCCAUGGCUAACUACGUG